AUGGCCAAAAAUCACAGCCGUGAGCAUUGCUGACAAGACCAGCAUUGCCCAUCCUUAAUGCCCUGCAGAGAUACCAUCUUGAACCGUGACAGUCGAUCUGGUGAAAGUAUCCCCACCGUGCCAUUGGCUGGUGUUUGUACCACACAGUUAUUUGGAACACUUUCCAACACCAUUGCAUCUGUUAUGAUAUUGGAUCAUUGGAAUCUUAUAUAUAUUGAAUGGACGGAAUUGCAACUAAGUUAGCAAGUUACAACUAAGGUUUUAUAUUUAUUGCCAAAAACUUUCCACCAAACUGAACUCAACA
Long non-coding RNA from Amblyraja radiata (thorny skate), 304 nucleotides. RefSeq lists it as uncharacterized. The transcript has 3 exons. NCBI's taxonomy places the organism in Eukaryota, Metazoa, Chordata, Chondrichthyes, Rajiformes, Rajidae. The record is from RefSeq and is a predicted model, not a curated record.